RNAcentral lists this ribosomal RNA (1176 nucleotides) under Triticum aestivum (bread wheat). RNAcentral describes it as "partial small subunit ribosomal RNA". The record is from RNAcentral. Lineage: Eukaryota; Viridiplantae; Streptophyta; Magnoliopsida; Poales; Poaceae.
AUGGGCAAAUUCAAGCGCGGCUCGCUGAAUCCACCUGCCCAACCCCCCGCCGUCGUCGACGGCGGGAACAAUCCUCCGCCGGCGUCAUGCCUCAUCGACCGCGUGGCCUACAUCGCCGACGUCACCAACGCGAGCACCGCCACCUGCAACACCACGGACAACACCGACAAUCACGGCGUCACCAUCCAGGUCACCUUCGUCGUCGGCGACCCGCCGCAAGUCUCCUACCUUUGCGCCCACUGCAUCGGAUCGCAGUUUGCCUAUGAGCCCAUCAUCGUCGCCACGGAGGGCAGGCUUGCCCUCCUCGCCAUCGACAUCGGACGGUCCUCGUCAGGCCGCGGCCGCAAACACUACAUCUAUUACGCCGGCGACGCCAGCAGAGGCAUGGACCCGUCGCUCAAGCGGCUUCCUGACCCGGAUCCCGCCCCGCGGUCCCUGCACCGCUUCUACGACGGCUAUCAUCUCGGCCUCCUCCUGCGGCCCCGCCCCCAGUCCCAACCCAAACUCCAAGGCGGGGUUUUUCUGCGCAGUUACCGCGCCCAGGAGGCGGAGGAGCAUGUCUCCUACGUCGUCGCCGGGCUCUUCCGCAAACACAAACCAUCAGCAACCGCUCACCUCUUCGACCUUUACCUCUACAGCUCCGAUACCAACAAGUGGUCCAUCCAGGACCAGGAGGCCCCCUUAUUGCUGCUCCAACAUCAGCAACAGCGAGCCGGCGGCGGCGGCGGCGGCUUUGAUUUUGUCACAAACAAGGCCAUCUCCAUCGGCGGAGAACACGCCACCAUGUGCUUCGUCGACCUGCAGCAGGGCAUCCUUCAGUGCAACGUGCUCGACAGCAACCCAGGGCUCCGCUACUAUCCGUUGCCGCCGCCCCUCGAACCCAACCCUGUCACCAUGGUCCAGUCUUACCCACAGGCUUUCCGCGAUGUAGCCAUCAUCGACGGUGGCCGCCGCAUCAAGUGCGCCCAGCUGCAUCUGGAUGUCACCUUAAACUGCGAGGACAGCAACUGGGGGGACUGGACUGUUCCCUCCUACCAUGGCUGGAAGGCAGCCACAUGGAGCAUGGACACUACCCAUCCUUCUUCUGGCUGGCGCCAGGACAGCGAGGUAGUUCAUGCAUCUGAGAUUGGCAGCACCAUACACCCGGCGCUUCUCCAAUAUAUUGCCACCGCAUGA